RNAcentral lists this microRNA precursor (76 nucleotides) under Myotis lucifugus (little brown bat). RNAcentral describes it as "mir-9193 microRNA precursor family". It matches the Rfam family "mir-9193 microRNA precursor family". The record is from Rfam by way of RNAcentral. Lineage: Eukaryota; Metazoa; Chordata; Mammalia; Chiroptera; Vespertilionidae.
CAGGGGGGGGGGGGGAUUCUCUCAGCCUGGAUUGUGAGAAGGCACAGGACUGGCUGAGGGACCCCACCCAUGCACG